GGACGAACGCUGGCGGCGUGCCUAAUGCAUGCAAGUCGAGCGGGCUACAGUCUUCGGAUUGUAGCUUAGCGGCGAACGGGUGAGUAACACGUAGGUAAUCUACCCUUCAGAGGAGGACAACCUCAGGAAACUGAGGCUAAACCUUCAUACGUUCACUGGUAGGGGUACUGGUGAAGAAAGAGUUACCGUUGAGGUAGCUGCUGAAGGAUGAGCCUGCGGCCCAUCAGGUAGUUGGUGAGGUAACGGCUCACCAAGCCGAAGACGGGUAACCGGUCUGAGAGGAUGUCCGGUCACACUGGGACUGAGACACGGCCCAGACUCCUACGGGAGGCAGCAGCAGGGAAUCUUGGGCAAUGGGCGAAAGCCUGACCCAGCGACGCCGCGUGGAGGAAGAAGUCCUUCGGGGCGUAAACUCCUGGACUGGGGGACGAGGAAGGACGGUACCCCAGUAGAAAGGGACGGCUAACUACGUGCCAGCAGCCGCGGUAAAACGUAGGUCCCGAGCGUUGUUCGGAUUCACUGGGUGUAAAGGGCGCGUAGGUGGUUGUCUGUGUCUCAUGUGAAAACUCAGGGCUCAACUCUGAGAUGGCGUGGGAAACUAGGCAGCUAGAGGACGGUAGAGGGGAGUGGAAUUCCCGGUGUAGCGGUAAAAUGCGUAGAUAUCGGGAGGAACACCGGUGGCGAAGGCGGCUCUCUGGGCCGAUCCUGACGCUGAGGCGCGAAAGCUAGGGGAGCGAACCGGAUUAGAUACCCUGGUAGUCCCAGCCGUAAACGAUGAGUGCUAGGUGUGGGGGGCGACAAUCCUCCGUGCCGCAGUUAACGCAAUAAGCACUCCGCCUGGGGAGUACGGCCGCAAGGCUAAAACCCAAAGGAAUUGACGGGGGCCCGCACAAGCAGUGGAGCGUGUGGUUUAAUUCGAGGCAACGCGAAGAACCUUACCAGGGUUUGACAUCAUACUGCCCUCUGUAGAAAUACAGACUUCCGCUUCGGCGGACAGUAUGACAGGUGUUGCAUGGUUGUCGUCAGCUCGUGUCGUGAGAUGUUGAGUUAAGUCCCGCAACGAGCGCAACCCCUAUCCAAUGUUGCCAACAGGUAAAGCUGGGGACUCAUUGGAGACUGCCGGAGACGAUCUGGAGGAAGGUGGGGAUGGGGUCAAAUCAUCAUGGCCCUUAAGCCCUGGGCUACACACGCGCUACAAUGGUCGGUACAACGGGCAGCGAAGGAGCGAUCUGGAGCGAAUCCCAAAAAGCCGGCCCCAGUUGGAAUCGCAGGCUGAAACUCGCCUGCGUGAACACGGAAUUGCUAGUAAUCGCGAAUCAGCUACGUCGCGGUGAAUACGUUCCCGGGCCU
This 1350-nucleotide ribosomal RNA is filed under the name uncultured bacterium. Its description in RNAcentral is "bacterial SSU rRNA". It matches the Rfam family "Bacterial small subunit ribosomal RNA", at positions 27 to 1381 of the family's 1533-position model. The record is from RNAcentral.